GUACAAUGGUGGUGAAUAGAGAACGCUGUUCUUUAUGCUGUAGGCCAACAUAACACUGCAGACCAACACCAGGAACUAGCAGAAAAAUGGGAAGAAAGAGAGAGAGAGAGAGAGAGAGAGAGAGAGAGAGAGAGAGAGAGAGAGAGAGAGAGAGAGAGAGAGAGAGAGAGAGAGAGAGGAGA
Silurus meridionalis is the source of this 182-nucleotide long non-coding RNA. RefSeq lists it as uncharacterized. The transcript has 2 exons. The record is from RefSeq and is a predicted model, not a curated record. Lineage: Eukaryota; Metazoa; Chordata; Actinopteri; Siluriformes; Siluridae.